GAUUUUAAUAAGGAUAAAUCUAGCUGCAUUUUUUUCUCAUAACGUUCCCGCAAGGACAAAAGCCUUGAUUAAGAGAUGUUUGGGAAUGAAAGAGUUUGACAAAAGAACAAAGCAUCUAGGUUUGUCGAUGGUGGUGGAGAGGAAUAAGUCUCUAGUUUUUUAGGACCUUAAGGACAAGGUGGAAAGCAAGUUUAAAGGUUGGAAGGCUAAAUUGUUAUCUCAAGCUGGUAGAGCGACUCUAGUGAAACACGUUGCCACGUCGAUUCCGGUCUAUACCAUGUCUUCGAUCCUUCUCCCUAAAGGGUUGUGUGAGAGCUUAGAUAAGAUGGCUAGGGGUUUCUUAUGGAAUAACAACCAGAGAGAUUCUAGAGGUUUUUAUCCAAUCGCUUGGAAUCGUACCUGCCAACCGAAAUUUAAUGGAGGUUUGGGCAUUAGAAAGCACUGGUCUUUCAAUGGAGCCUUGAUCGCCAAAUUAGGUUGGAACCUCGCCACCAAGGAUAAUUUACUUUGGGUGAAGGCUUUUAAAGCAAAAUAUUUUCCUCAUUCUUCUUUCAUGAAUUGAAAAAAGAAAAAAGAUUGUUCCUAGUUCUGGAGUGGAAUCAUGAAGACUAAACCUUUACUUGCUAAAGGUCUAUGUUUUAGAGUGGGCAGAGGAGAUUCUGUAAAUAUUUGGGAGGACCCUUGGGUUCCUAAUCUCCCGAACUUCCUUUCGAAACCAAGAAUUACUUCUGAGUCCACUAUAGGAAUGGUUAGCUCGUUAAAAUUAAGCAACGAUCAGUGGAACCAUGAUUGGCCGGAGAGUCUCUUCGAGUAUGAGUCGGCCAAGUGCAUAAAGGAAAAUUUCUGGGCUAAUAAUGAUCAAGCUGACAAAAUCAUCUGGAUAGGGAUCAAAUCUGGAUCUUUCAAAGUUAAAUUGGCUUAUAAUAUGGAUGUUGAAGGUGAGGUUAGAAAUGAGCAGUGGUGGAAAUUCUUGUGGGAAAGCAGGAUCCAUAAAAGAACCAAGUUUUUCCUUUGGAAUCUGGCCAAUGUAGGGCUUCCUCUAUUCUCUAAUCUGAUUUUUAGAGGUUUAUCUUUGGACAAUGUGGAAUGUCCUCACGGUUGCCAGGCGGUGGAAACGGAACUCCAUCUCUUCUUCCACUGCAAAAUUGCCAAGAGAUUAUGGUUUGUGAGCCCGUGGGGUAUUAGGUGGAAGAGUUUCGAUAACCAUGAUAUUUUUACCCUCCUUAAGUGCAUUUCCAACCUGGAGGCUUCCCUUCCAGUUCAUCAGGAGGACAAGGCAAAUUUCUUCAUGUUUAGUGCUCUCACCCUGGAACAUAUCUGGUGGAUUCACAACAAAGUCAUCCAUGGUGGCCGAGCGGAGGGUUUUGAGCUUGCUCCUGAAGUUGUGAUGAAAAGAUUCAAGGAGCUUAAGAAUGCCAUCAGACAUGAUGUUUCAGAUAGGCAUCCCCAGACAAUAGACAUUAAUCGUUUUCUGUCUGGCUGGAGAAAACCACCUGAGGGUGUUAUCAAGCUUAAUUCAGAUGCUGCUGUUAGAACCUCAGGUAGUCAUCUGGCGGUGAUAGCCAGAACUAGCAGAGGUAAAGUUCUUCAUAUCCAAGCUUUUAAAUCGAAUGUGAAUGUCCUAGAAAUCACAUAGCUAAAAGCUAUUUUGAAAGCCAUUCAAGUGGCGAAAUUCUUCAAUUGGAGCAACAUUUAGUUCGAAUUCGAUGCGUUAAAUGUGAUCAAAGCUCUUCAUAAUGACGAUUUUAGUAAUCUUCACUGGGCGACCGAACCCUUUUUCAAUUCCAUUUCUUUGAUUUUGGACAAUUUCAGUUCUGUUUCUUUUUGCUGGGCCCCUAAGAAAGCUAAUGCUUUGGCCCAUUUUGUUAGCCAUUGGGCUGAGAGCCGAAAUAUAUAUGGCCCAUUGACCUAGAUUGGCUCCCGCAAAAUUGGUUCCGUUAUAUAGUUCGGGAAAGCGCUCUUAAGGACACUCCCCGAAACUAGGUUUUUGCUUCUGCCAUCUUUUGGUUUCUAAUGAAACUCCGUUCUCAGCCCCAAACAAAUUAAAAAAAAUGGUUAGAUACGGUCUCAACUUUGUAUAAAUAGUAUUUUCAAGAAAUUUGAUAAAUGUUAUUAUAAGCGGCACCGCAGUGCUGAUGUGGCACAAUUUUGAGAGCACUUCUAAAUUCACUAAAUACCCACAGGCGCACCAAAUGUAGAAUGGUCUUUUAAAAGCCUUCCUGGCGUAGGCGUGACUCAUCAUGACCCAUUGCUGGCGAAUAGUUAAAAAGGGAGUGCCCAACAAAAAGCAAAAGGAAAGGAAGGCUGCGAUAAAACACACACUCUUGCUUGUCUCAACUUUCCUCUCUCUCUCUCUCUCUGUCUGUCUCUGUGUCUAUGUAGGGAUUGCGGAGUAGCUAGCAGCCACACCACACAUUCACCCAAUCCAUCUCAACGCUAUGGAUUGAUCGUUUUCUCGGCGAAAUUCUCAAUUUCUGACCCAAUUGCUCGCUACCUGCAGAUUCUCUGCCAUGGAAGAUACUCAAUCAGUUUCUACACUGAUAGACACUACAACCUCUAAGAUACAACAGCUUCAGAAAGCAUUUGCUGAACUUGAAAGUCACCGAGCAAUAACUCUUAACUUGAAAUGGAAGGAGAUUGAAGAACAUUUCCAUGGGCUUGAGAAGUCCUUAAAGAGGCGUUUUCAUGAGUUGGAAGAUCAAGAAAAGGAGUUUGAAACCAAAACAUUGGCAGCUCGUGAAAUGUUGGAGAAGAAGGAAUUAGCGAGAGAGAGAGAGAGAGAGUUACAAUUGGAAAAUACAGGACACAAAACCCUAGAAAACAUGGCGGCGAACAAGACAGUUGAUGUGCCAUCAAAUGAAAAACAGACAACGACCAUGGCGGCGAACAAGACAGUUGGUGGGCCAUCAAAUGAAAAACAGACUGGGCAGCACGAGUAUCCUUUUCAGCUGUUCGAAGACUUGGGUGUUGGGCUCGCCGGCCACUCGGCCUUGUACUUCGCCGACGGCUUCGUCAAUAUCCCGGCCGCUACCGCUACUAGGGUCGUCGUUGGCGGCUUCCAGGCGUUCAAAAUGAACGCCGCCAGGUUGCCUGCGGAUGCGGGAAGAUUUGCCGCGUUUUGCGGCUUGACGACGGCGUUCGAUAGUUACAUUGCACGGGCUUGCGGAGUCAACGAUGAGUGGAACUUCGUCGGCGCCGCGGGAGCUGCCUCUGGGCUCGUACAGUGGCGUGGUGGUCUCCGAUCAUCACUGGGCUCAGCUCUCUCUGUUGCUGCUGUGGCCAUCCUGUUUCAGACUUUUGAGGUAAAAGAGUAAUUCUAUCUAAUUUCUAUCAGGCUUUUUUAUCAUAUAUAUGUAUAUAUAAUAUGUUUAUUUCCUUCUGGUUGCUAUAUAUAAUAUGUUUAUUUGGAAUUGUCUUUUCUAAAAAUUUAUGGAUUUCAAUAUAAUAUGUUUAUUUGGAGUUACUUUUUGUAAAAACUUAUGGAUUCUGAUUUUGUUGGAUCAACUUAUAUUAAUAUUUAAACUCUUGUAUUUAUCUUUUUUUUUUAAUCUUAUUUAAUAGUCUAUUAGCUAGGAUUAUUCCCUUUAUUUAAGUGAAAAUAAAGGUGAAAAUAAACAUUGUGGUCAUUUAUUUGAUCCAUUUUAAUAAAAAAAAAAAGCGAAAAUAAAAUUGAAAUUUAAACGAUUCAGAUAUGUGGCUUUACAUUGGGUCUGAGCUCAUUCCAAUUCAAGUUGUGAGGAAAAAUUGAUUGAUUUUCAAUUUUUAUUUAAUUUAAAUUUUUUUGUUAGUAUUAUUAUUUUUAAUUAAAAUUAAUGGUAUUUAAUUUCCCGACAGAUCUAUCUGGCUUUUUAUUUUUAUUUUUGGUAAAAUAAAAAUAAUGUCUUAAUUUUUUGAUAUUUUAAUUAUUAGAUUGUUAUUAUUAUUAUGUUUUUUUUACUUGUCCUUUGUUUUCUAGUUGUUGCACAUAUCCUCUUUAUGCUUAUCCUCUAGUUCUACUGCUAGGGAAGUCUCAGAGUCUCACACUGGGGUUUUAUUUAAUUAAUUAAUAAAUUUAUCAAAAAUAAAAAUAAAAAGCCAGGUAGAUCUACCGGAAAAUUUAAUACCAUUAAUUUUAAUUAAAAAUAAUAAUACUAACAAAAAAAUUUAAAUUAAAUAAAAAUCGAAAAUCAAUCAAUUUUUUCUCACAGCUUGGAUUGGAAUGAGUUCGGAUCCAGUGUAAAGCCACAGAUCUGAAUCGCUUAAAUUUCAAUUUUAUUUUCGUUUUUUUUUUUUAUUAAAAUGGAUCAAAUAAAGGACCACAAUGUUUAUUUUCGCCUUUAUUUUUACUUAAAUAAAGGAAAUAAUCCUAGCUAAUAGACUAUUAAAUAAGAUUAAAAAAAAAAAGAAGAUAAAUACAAGAGUUUAAAUAUUAAUAUAAAACCCACAAGGAACACAAUGUUUGAUCCAACAUAAAUUAAAAUUCAUAAGUUUUUACAAAAAGUAACUCCAAAUAAACAUAUUAUAUAUGAAAUCCAUAAGUUUUUAGAAAAGACAACUCCAAAUAAACAUAUUAUAUAUAGCAACGGGAAGGAAAUAAACAUAUUAUAUAUAUGAUAAAAAAGCCUGAUAGAAAUUAGGUAGAAUUACUCUUUUACCCCAAAAGUCUGAAACAGGGCGGCCACAGCAGCAACAGAGAGAGAGCUAAGCCCAGUGAUGAUCGGAGACCACCAUGCCACUGUACGAGCCCAGCGGCAGCUCCUGCGGCACCGACGAAGUUCCACUCAUCGUCGACACCGCGAGCCCGUGCAAUGUAGCUAUCGAAUGCCGUCGUCAAGCCGCAAAACGCGGCAAAUCUUCCCGCAUCCGUAGGCAACCUGGCGGCGUUCAUUUUGAACGCCUGGAAGCCGCCAACGACGACCCUAGUAGAGGUAGCGGCCGGGGUAUUGACGAAGCCGUCAGCGAAGUACAGGGCCGGCGAGCCCAACACCUAAGUCUUCGAACAGCUGAAACGGGUACUCUUGCUGCCCAGUCUGUUUUUCAUUUGAUGGCCCACCAACUGUCUUGUUUGCCGCCAUGGUCGUUGUCUGUUUUUCAUUUGAUGGCCCAUCAACCGUCUUGUUCGCCGCCAUGUUUUCUAGGGUUGUGUCUUGUAUUUUUCAAUUGUAGCUCUCUCUCUGUGGGAAUCAAAAAAGGAAUUGCCUCUGGUUUUCGUAGCACGUGUCCAUUUUCAAUUAUUAUUAGGGAAAAUUUUAUUGAUCCCUCUGGUUUAACAAAACCACAUUUACCUCUGUAAAAUUAUUUAAUUCAUCAUUAACAUCCCUAGAUAUUAACAUUGAUUAACAAAUUUUAUAUUUUAAUUUAUUUAAAUUACAAAACGUCUAUUUUACCUUUA
RNA transcript from Ziziphus jujuba (common jujube), 5371 nucleotides. It is a transcript of the gene named FRIGIDA-like protein 3, with no coding region annotated. The transcript has 2 exons. NCBI's taxonomy places the organism in Eukaryota, Viridiplantae, Streptophyta, Magnoliopsida, Rosales, Rhamnaceae. The record is from RefSeq and is a predicted model, not a curated record.